AGAGUUUGAUCCUGGCUCAGAACGAACGCUGGCGGCGUGGAUUAGGCAUGCAAGUCGAACGAUCGAGGCCAAUGGUUCCGAACCUUCGGGUGAAGGAUCGGCUAAGAUAGUGGCGAACUGGUGAGUAACGCGUGGGCAAUUUGCCCUGAACUUGGGAAUAACACACCGAAAGGUGUGCUAAUACCGAAUGUGAUCGGUAACUCGUAUGGGUAACCGAUCAAGGGUGGGGAUCCGCUUGCGGACCUGCCGGUUUGGGAUAAGCCCGCGUCCUAUUAGCUUGUUGGUGAGGUAACAGCUCACCAAGGCGAUGAUGGGUAGCCGGCCUGAGAGGGUGACCGGCCACACUGGGACUGAGACACUGCCCAGACUCCUACGGGAGGCUGCAGUCGAGAAUCAUUCGCAAUGCCCGAAAGGGUGACGAUGCGACGCCGCGUGAGCGAUGAAGGCCUUCGGGUUGUAAAGCUCUGUCACAUGGGAGGAAAUGCAUUGGUGUUAAUAGCGCCAGUGUUUGACAGUACCAUGAGAGGAAGCCCCGGCUAACUACGCGCCAGCAGCCGCGGUAAUACGUAGGGGGCGAGCGUUGUUCGGAUUCAUUGGGUGUAAAGGGCGUGUAGGCGGUUGUAUAAGUCAGGUGUGAAAGCUCCCCGCUCAACGGGGAAAUUGCACUUGAUACUAUACGACUUGAGUGUAGGGGGUGAGAGCGGAAUUCUCAGUGUAGCGGUGAAAUGCGUAGAUAUUGAGAAGAACACCAGUAGCGAAGGCGGCUCUCAAUCCUACUACUGACGCUGAGGCGCGAAAGCGUGGGGAGCGAACAGGAUUAGAUACCCUGGUAGUCCACGCCGUAAACGAUGGGCACUGGGUGUAGGAGGUAUCGACCCCUCCUGUGCCGAAGCUAACGCAUUAAGUGCCCCACCUGGGGACUACGGCCGCAAGGUUAAAACUCAAAGGAAUAGACGGGGGCCCGCACAAGCGGUGGAGCAUGUGGUUUAAUACGACGCAACGCGUAGAACCUUACCAGGGCUAGACAUGCUGGGAUUAACCCAUCGAAAGAUGGGGGAUUAUCCGAAAGGGUGUAACCAGCACAGGUGUUGCAUGGCUGUCGUCAGCUCGUGUCGUGAGAUGUUGGGUUAAGUCCCGCAACGAGCGCAACCCUCGUCCUUAGUUGCCAGCGAUUCGGUCGGGGACUCUAAGGAGACUGCCCGUGACAAGCGGGAGGAAGGUGAGGAUGACGUCAAGUCAGUACGGCCCUUACGCCCUGGGCUACACACGUGCUACAAUGGCCGGCACAAUGGGUUGCAAUACCGCGAGGUGGAGCCAAUCCCCAAAGUCGGUCCCAGUUCGGAUUGGAGUCUGCAACUCGACUCCAUGAAGUCGGAAUCGCUAGUAAUGGCGAAUCAGCAAUGUCGCCGUGAAUACGUUCCCGGGCCUUGUACUCACCGCCCGUCACAUCACCCGAGUUGGGUGCACCCGAAGUCGCUGUCCUAACCCAGAGAGUAAUCAAAGGGAGGGAGGUGCCGAAGGUGUGCUUGGUAAGGGGGAUGAAGUCGUAACAAGGUA
Molecule: ribosomal RNA, 1557 nt
Filed under: metagenome
Description: bacterial SSU rRNA
Rfam family: Bacterial small subunit ribosomal RNA
Source: RNAcentral